This 332-nucleotide unclassified non-coding RNA is filed under the name Hevea brasiliensis (rubber tree). Lineage: Eukaryota; Viridiplantae; Streptophyta; Magnoliopsida; Malpighiales; Euphorbiaceae. The record is from RNAcentral.
UUAUUAUAGGAGCAGGAGGCAGAGUCCAUGGAGGUCAAUGAGACCAAAGAGAGUAGUAGAGGAGUUAAACCAAUUGCUUCAAUUGCUUGAUCGAGUUUUAGCUUGUAGGCCGGCAGGAAUGGCUAAGAGUAGUAGAUUAGUAAUUACUGCGCUUAAUUUGGUAAUCAAAGAGAGCUUUGGGUUGUAUAUUGAGAUUUGUGAUGCAUUGGGGGUUUUGUUGGAUCACUUUAAAGAAAUGGAAUAUGGUGAUUGUCUUAGGGCUUUUGAUAUUUGUGCUAAUGCUGCAAAGAAUAUUGAUGAACUUGUGGAAUUUUAUGCUUGGUGUAAGGAUG